This 73-nucleotide transfer RNA is filed under the name Bos taurus (domestic cattle). It matches the Rfam family "tRNA". Rfam says of the family: Transfer RNA (tRNA) molecules are approximately 80 nucleotides in length. Their secondary structure includes four short double-helical elements and three loops (D, anti-codon, and T loops). Further hydrogen bonds mediate the characteristic L-shaped molecular structure. tRNAs have two regions of fundamental functional importance: the anti-codon, which is responsible for specific mRNA codon recognition, and the 3' end, to which the tRNAs corresponding amino acid is attached (by aminoacyl-tRNA synthetases). tRNAs cope with the degeneracy of the genetic code in two manners: having more than one tRNA (with a specific anti-codon) for a particular amino acid; and 'wobble' base-pairing, i.e. permitting non-standard base-pairing at the 3rd anti-codon position. Lineage: Eukaryota; Metazoa; Chordata; Mammalia; Artiodactyla; Bovidae. The record is from Rfam by way of RNAcentral. RNAcentral also lists the same sequence under 3 other names.
UCCCACCUGACUCAGCUGGUACAGAAUCUGCCUGCAAUGCAGGAGGCCCCAGGUUUAAUGCCUGGGUGGGGAA